ACUGAAACAUUGGUUCCCAUAUGAUCACUGAAGUUAAGCAAUGUCAAGCCUGAUCAGUACCUAGAUAGGUGACUGCUUGGAAAUACAAGCUGCUGUAAU
Acanthosepion pharaonis is the source of this 99-nucleotide non-coding RNA. NCBI's taxonomy places the organism in Eukaryota, Metazoa, Mollusca, Cephalopoda, Sepiida, Sepiidae. The record is from the annotation of a GenBank genome assembly.